This 378-nucleotide ribosomal RNA is filed under the name uncultured organism. RNAcentral's name for it is "partial 16S ribosomal RNA". It matches the Rfam family "Bacterial small subunit ribosomal RNA", at positions 526 to 896 of the family's 1533-position model. The record is from RNAcentral.
AGAGGGGUGCGAGCGUUAAUCGGGAAUUACUGGGCGUAAAGCGCACGUAGGUGGGGGGAUAGUAAGUUGGGGUGUGAAAUUCCUGGGGCUUAACCUGGGCAUGUCACUCAAGACUGCGAUUCUAGAGUAUGGUAGAGGAAAGCGGAAUUUCCGGUGUAGCGGUGAAAUGCGUAGAUAUCGGAAGGAACACCAGUGGCGAAGGCGGCUUUCUGGACUAAUACUGACACUGAGGAGCGAAAGCGUGGGGAGCAAACAGGAUUAGAUACCCUGGUAGUCCACGCUGUAAACGAUGAGGACUAGCCGUUGGAAGGUACUAACUUUUUAGUGGCGCAGCUAACGCGAUAAGUUCUCCGCCUGGGGAUUACGGCCGCAAGGCUA